Molecule: ribosomal RNA, 399 nt
Filed under: uncultured Sphingomonas sp.
Lineage: Bacteria; Pseudomonadati; Pseudomonadota; Alphaproteobacteria; Sphingomonadales; Sphingomonadaceae
Description: bacterial SSU rRNA
Rfam family: Bacterial small subunit ribosomal RNA
Source: RNAcentral
UGGGGAAUAUUGGACAAUGGGGGAAACCCUGAUCCAGCAAUGCCGCGUGAGUGAUGAAGGCCCUAGGGUUGUAAAGCUCUUUUACCCGGGAAGAUAAUGACUGUACCGGGAGAAUAAGCCCCGGCUAACUCCGUGCCAGCAGCCGCGGUAAUACGGAGGGGGCUAGCGUUGUUCGGAAUUACUGGUCGUAAAGCGCACGUAGGCGGCUUUGUAAGUCAGAGGUGAAAGCCUGGAGCCACUCCAGAACUGCCUUUGAGACUGCAUCGCUUGAAUCCAGGAGAGGUCAGUGGAAUUCCGAGUGUAGAGGUGAAAUUCGUAGAUAUUCGGAAGAACACCAGUGGCGAAGGCGGCUGACUGGACUGGUAUUGACGCUGAGGUGCGAAGCGUGGGGAGCAAACA